CGAACGCUGGCGGCGUGCCUAACACAUGCAAGUCGAGCGAGAUCCAUCCAGUGGCAACACUGGUGAAGAUCUAGCGGCGAACGGGUGAGUAACACGUGAGAAACCUGCCCCGAAGACCGGGAUAACUCGAGGAAACUCGAGCUAAUACCGGAUAUCCUCACCAGAUCGCAUGUUCAGGUGAGGAAAUGCUCCGACGCUUCGGGAGGGUCUCGCGGCCUAUCAGCUCGUUGGUGAGGUAACGGCUCACCAAGGCUAAGACGGGUAGCUGGUCUGAGAGGACGAUCAGCCACACUGGGACUGAGACACGGCCCAGACUCCUACGGGAGGCAGCAGUGGGGAAUCUUGCGCAAUGGGCGAAAGCCUGACGCAGCAACGCCGCGUGGGGGAUGAAGGCUCUCGGGUUGUAAACCCCUUUCAGGAGGGACGAAAAUGACGGUACCUCCAGAAGAAGCCCCGGCCAACUACGU
Molecule: ribosomal RNA, 467 nt
Filed under: uncultured bacterium
Lineage: Bacteria
Description: bacterial SSU rRNA
Rfam family: Bacterial small subunit ribosomal RNA
Source: RNAcentral